This 20-nucleotide small nuclear RNA is filed under the name Arabidopsis thaliana (thale cress). RNAcentral's name for it is "snRNA_02364". Lineage: Eukaryota; Viridiplantae; Streptophyta; Magnoliopsida; Brassicales; Brassicaceae. The record is from RNAcentral.
CAUCAAACUUGUCCAAAGAA